AGGACAGUUGCAAAAGGGAAAAGAAACAAACAAACAAAAACCAAAAAAAAAACAACCGCCCACACAAAAACAGGUCACACACAGAAAGACAGAAAUCCACGCAGAAAAAGAACCUGUUGCGUUCCAGCUCCCCUGCCGUCGGAGGGCGGUGCGGGCACGUCUCUCGGCGGGCGGGCACAGCGCUGCGCGCCGCGGGGGCGGUCGGGGCGGUCGGCCCCGGCCCCGGAGACCGGCCGGCCUUUGCACUCCGUCGCACUGCCACGGACUGCGCCCCGGAGGAGCGGGUGUGUCCGGCGGGGGAGCCCCGGGAAGCGGGAAAGGGCGCUGCGCUCCUCGGCCGGCGGAGGAGCUCUUCCUCUUCUUCCUCCUCCUCAGCAGAGAGGCGGCCCAUCUUCGCACCUCGCCGCCGCCGCGGCCCUUCAGACACUGGCGUUCAUCACCUGUGGACAAAGUUAGUUUCCCGAUGUCUGUGGAGAUGCUGAAGUUAAGCUAUGCUGUACUCAAAGAAGUCCCUGGAUCCCCGUCAACCCCCCAUCUCCCCGUGCCUCUCCCUCCCCUCGAUCCAAGCUUUUCCUCUCGUUUCCAUCAUAGAAUGCUUCCAAUCUUUUUUUUUUGUGAAUUUUUUUAUGAUGAGAAAAUCUAUUUGUAUCUAUCCUAACCCGGUUGGGGAUAUAUUAAGCUAUUUUUGUACAUAAGAGAGAGAGAGAUUUAUAGAGGUUUUGUACAAAUGGUUUAAAAUGUGUAUAUCUUGAUACUUUUUUUAAUAUGUAAUGCUUAUUACCUCCUCAUGUUUAGACUCGUAGUCAACGUUACCUUACAAUUGCCAUUUUUGUAUGUGGUUUUGUAAAGGACUUGGAUUUCCUCCAGAUGUACUUUAGCACCAAUGUGUCUUACUUUAUAGGAACUUCGUUAAUGUAUUAAUAAUGUCAUUAAACAAUGUUCAAAGUGAACAAAGUUUAUGCAGCUAUUGUCCAAACGCAAAACGGUAGCUAUUUGUUUUCAUAUGCUGCCUUUUGGGAGAAAAAGGAAAAAAAAGGAAAAAAAAAAAGAAAAACCAGACAAACAACCCCCCCCCACACACACCACUGCCUUUUCUUACUGUUUUAUUACAAACUUACAAAGGUCCUGUAUAACCCUAUUUUAUACAAUCUAGUUUCAUAAUAAAACUUUUUUUUAAUUAAAAUGAUCA
Molecule: long non-coding RNA, 1189 nt
Filed under: Parus major (Great Tit)
Lineage: Eukaryota; Metazoa; Chordata; Aves; Passeriformes; Paridae
Description: lncRNA (ENSPMJG00000008883.1)
Source: RNAcentral